This 515-nucleotide ribosomal RNA is filed under the name uncultured bacterium. Its description in RNAcentral is "partial 16S ribosomal RNA". It matches the Rfam family "Bacterial small subunit ribosomal RNA", at positions 28 to 523 of the family's 1533-position model. The record is from RNAcentral.
GAUGAACGCUGGCGGCGUGCCUAAUACAUGCAAGUCGAGCGAAUGGAUUAAGAGCUUGCUCUUAUGAAGUUAGCGGCGGACGGGUGAGUAACACGUGGGUAACCUGCCCAUAAGACUGGGAUAACUCCGGGAAACCGGGGCUAAUACCGGAUAACAUUUUGAACCGCAUGGUUCGAAAUUGAAAGGCGGCUUCGGCUGUCACUUAUGAAUGGACCCGGGUCGCAUUAGCUAGUUGGUGAGGUAACGGCUCACCAAGGAAACGAUGCGUAGCCGACCUGAGAGGGUGAUCGGCCACACUGGGACUGAGACACGGCCCAGACUCCUACGGGAGGCAGCAGUAGGGAAUCUUCCGCAAUGGACGAAAGUCUGACGGAGCAACGCCGCGUGAGUGAUGAAGGCUUUCGGGUCGUAAAACUCUGUUGUUAGGGAAGAACAAGUGCUAGUUGAAUAAGCUGACACCUUGACGGUACCUAACCAGAAAGCCACGGCUAACUACGUGCCAGCAGCCGCCGUAA